UAAGGAAUAUUGGUCAAUGGACGCGAGUCUGAACCAGCCAUGCCGCGUGAAGGAGGAAGGUCCUCUGGAUUGUAAACUUCUUUUAUCUGGGACGAAAACGGGAUUUUUAUCUCAAUUGACGGUACCAGAGGAAUAAGCACCGGCUAACUCCGUGCCAGCAGCCGCGGUAAUACGGAGGGUGCGAGCGUUAUCCGGAUUUACUGGGUUUAAAGGGUGCGUAGGUGGGCUUAUAAGUCAGUGGUGAAAUCUCCGAGCUUAACUUGGAAACUGCCGUUGAUACUAUAGGUCUUGAAUUAUCUGGAGGUCAGCGGAAUAUGUCAUGUAGCGGUGAAACGCUUAGAUAUGACAUAGAACACCAAUUGCGAAGGCAGCUUACUACAUAUAAAUUGACGCUGAGGCACGAAAGCGUGGGGAUCAAACA
This 421-nucleotide ribosomal RNA is filed under the name uncultured bacterium. RNAcentral's name for it is "bacterial SSU rRNA". It matches the Rfam family "Bacterial small subunit ribosomal RNA", at positions 355 to 774 of the family's 1533-position model. The record is from RNAcentral.